GUUUCUUUUUUCUCUUUUUUCUUAUUAAUUUUAUUAUUUUUUUUUCUUAAAUCAGUAAUAAAGUUAAAAUUAAAGAAUACUAAAGUAAAUAUUUGAUAAAUCUAUAUGGGUAUCUAAAGUUUUUUGUAUAUAAUUUAAUGAAAUAUUAACAAAAAAGCUACCGAAAAAGUAAAAAUGAAACCACAUGAGGGCAAUUUGAUAUAUUUUAAACCACAUGGGGCCAAAGUGAGAAACUAUGAAAUCACAUGGAGGGCUUUUGAAGUUUUUCCUAUUUUUUUUUGCCCCCAUUGGUGAUAGAUAUAUAAUGUGCCGUAUAGAUCUCAUUGCUUUAAUUAGUUAAAAUAUAAUUUCUACAAUUUCACUAGAAAAUUAACAAUUAAAGUAGCAUAUCUCUACAUUCUAUAUCAGUAUCUUCAAAAUUAAAUAACUAACGGACCUGUCGAUAAAACUUAGUCUGAGUAACUUAUAGUAGCAAUAGUUUUUUUUUUUUUUUUCACCACACGUCGAGGCCGUGCUGCGCGUCUCACCCACAUAGCUUAAUUUAUUUUCUUACUGAAUGAAACGGAUAGCGUGCUAUCUUUCUCUCUCAAAAAAAAAAAAAAUCUCAUUUCUCCCUUUAGUUUUUUCUCUCUCUAUAUAUAUUGAA
RNAcentral lists this long non-coding RNA (646 nucleotides) under Ananas comosus (pineapple). Its description in RNAcentral is "long non-coding RNA (ACOM_LNC008119)". Lineage: Eukaryota; Viridiplantae; Streptophyta; Magnoliopsida; Poales; Bromeliaceae. The record is from RNAcentral.